RNAcentral lists this ribosomal RNA (273 nucleotides) under uncultured Staphylococcus sp. Its description in RNAcentral is "partial 16S ribosomal RNA". It matches the Rfam family "Bacterial small subunit ribosomal RNA", at positions 89 to 356 of the family's 1533-position model. The record is from RNAcentral. Lineage: Bacteria; Bacillati; Bacillota; Bacilli; Caryophanales; Staphylococcaceae.
ACGUUAGCGGCGGACGGGUGAGUAACACGUGGGUAACCUACCUAUAAUACUGGGAUAACUUCGGGAAACCGGAGCUAAUACCGGAUAAUAUUUCGAACCGCAUGGUUCGAUAGUGAAAGGUGGUUUUGCUAUCACUUAUAGAUGGACCCGCGCCGUAUUAGCUAGUUGGUAAGGUAACGGCUUACCAAGGCGACGAUACGUAGCCGACCUGAGAGGGUGAUCGGCCACACUGGAACUGAGACACGGUCCAGACUCCUACGGGAGGCAGCAGCG